UUUUACACUUACCCACAAUCCCUCACUACCGGAAGUACUGGACAAGGGAAGGCCGGGGAAACGGUCCACCCAUUACUAUCGGGAGAACAUGGAUUGCUGCUAAAUUAAAGAUAUAUACGAUUACAGCAAGAGUCGUGCCUAGCCGCUCAGUCCAUAUACCACAAGAUGGGAGGCUGGAGUGUGUUUGUGACCUGCUGUGUUUGGGCGAUUCUUCUCCUGGCUCUGUUUGGAGAUUCACUGGCAUCUGCGCCUGAGUUUGAUCCCUACAAAGUUCUCGGAGUGUCCAGACAUGCCAGCCAGGCCGAAAUCAAGAAAGUCUACAAGAGGCUCAUGAGAGAAUGGCAUCCAGACAAAAACAAAAGUCCAGGGGCAGAGGACAUGUUUAUCAAGAUCACUAAAUCAUAUGAGUAAAUUACUUAGUU
Molecule: long non-coding RNA, 422 nt
Organism: Cyprinus carpio (common carp)
Lineage: Eukaryota; Metazoa; Chordata; Actinopteri; Cypriniformes; Cyprinidae
Exons: 3
Source: RefSeq, a predicted model, not a curated record